GAUGAACGCUGGCGGCGUGCCUAAUACAUGCAAGUCGAGCGAACGGACGAGAAGCUUGCUUCUCUGAUGUUAGCGGCGGACGGGUGAGUAACACGUGGAUAACCUACCUAUAAGACUGGGAUAACUUCGGGAAACCGGAGCUAAUACCGGAUAAUAUUUUGAACCGCAUGGUUCAAAAGUGAAAGACGGUCUUGCUGUCACUUAUAGAUGGAUCCGCGCUGCAUUAGCUAGUUGGUAAGGUAACGGCUUACCAAGGCAACGAUGCAUAGCCGACCUGAGAGGGUGAUAGGCCACACUGGAACUGAGACACGGUCCAGACUCCUACGGGAGGCAGCAGUAGGGAAUCGUCCGCAAUGGGCGAAAGCCUGACGGAGCAACGCCGCGUGAGUGAUGAAGGUCUUCGGAUCGUAAAACUCUGUUAUUAGGGAAGAACAUAUGUGUAAGUAACUGUGCACAUCUUGACGGUACCUAAUCAGAAAGCCACGGCUAACUACGUG
RNAcentral lists this ribosomal RNA (497 nucleotides) under uncultured bacterium. RNAcentral's name for it is "partial 16S ribosomal RNA". It matches the Rfam family "Bacterial small subunit ribosomal RNA", at positions 28 to 507 of the family's 1533-position model. The record is from RNAcentral.